This 254-nucleotide ribosomal RNA is filed under the name uncultured bacterium. RNAcentral describes it as "partial 16S ribosomal RNA". It matches the Rfam family "Bacterial small subunit ribosomal RNA", at positions 524 to 776 of the family's 1533-position model. The record is from RNAcentral.
UACGUAGGGUGCAAGCGUUGUCCGGAAUUAUUGGGCGUAAAGAGCUCGUAGGCGGUCUGUCGCGUCUGCUGUGAAAACCUAAGGCUCAACCUUGGGCUUGCAGUGGGUACGGGCAGACUAGAGUGCGGUAGGGGUGACUGGAAUUCCUGGUGUAGCGGUGGAAUGCGCAGACUAUCAGGAGGAACACCGAUGGCGAAGGCAGGUCACUGGGCCGUUACUGACGCUGAGGAGCGAAAGCGUGGGGAGCGAACAGG